This 403-nucleotide ribosomal RNA is filed under the name uncultured bacterium. RNAcentral describes it as "bacterial SSU rRNA". It matches the Rfam family "Bacterial small subunit ribosomal RNA", at positions 355 to 775 of the family's 1533-position model. The record is from RNAcentral.
UAGGGAAUAUUAGAAAUGGACGCAAGUCUGAUCUAGCAACACCGCGUGUGCGAAGAAGGCCUUCGGGUUGUAAAGCACUUUUUGGAAGGAUUAGGAAGGAGUGUACUUCCAGAAUAAGUCUCGGCUAACUACGUGCCAGCAGCCGCGGUAACACGUAGGAGGCAAACGUUAUCCGGAUUUACUGGGCGUAAAGCGCGUGUAGGUGGUUCUGUAAGUAGGGCGUGAAAGCUCCUGGCUCAACUGGGAGAGGCCGUUCUAAACUGCAGAGCUAGAGGAUGGUAGAGGGAGGUGGAAUUCCGGGUGUAGCGGUGAAAUGCGCAGAUAUCCGGAGGAACACCAGUGGCGAAAGCGGCCUCCUGGACCAUUCCUGACACUCAGACGCGAAAGCUAGGGUAGCAAACGG